This 1138-nucleotide unclassified non-coding RNA is filed under the name Haliotis rufescens (red abalone). Its description in RNAcentral is "bTB/POZ domain-containing protein KCTD7-like, transcript variant X3". The record is from RNAcentral. Lineage: Eukaryota; Metazoa; Mollusca; Gastropoda; Lepetellida; Haliotidae.
AUCUUAUCAUGAACAAGAUCACAAUGCAAUAUUACCGGGACACAACUCCACGCGUUUCUGCAUUCGUAGUUACACAGCGACUUGAGAUAGAAACCUACAAGCAAUACUCGACACCCUGAACACGUGACUUCACAAAGCAUAUUUUGACAUUAUGGCGUUCCCUGCUGAUGUUCGGAAAUAUGCAGAUUACUGUGGAUUACACGUCCAGAAGGAAGGCAUUACCAAUGCUAAUGGCACGCUAUUAAGGAGUAUGUUUCCUAAUUACACUUCUCACCUGGAAAACGUGAAAAGGGUAAUGAGGAGGUUUUCACGGUAUUUUUAUCUUUGCAUACGUACCGCCAAGUGUCCAUGUCGUGAUGAUCCUGCGUGUAAAAAUGAUCUUCACGGGUCAGAUCUGAUUGAUAUAAAUCUUGGUCUUGAUGAUAAAAUGCGAUCUUUGAUGCUUCGUCUUCUGGCACAUGACUUACAAUGUAUGGGUAUCUUCACAGAUGAAGAAGAAAUAACAUGCAACUGUAACUGUAUCGGUGCGAUGAAACUUCAGUUUUGCAAUGCACCCUAGUCCACACUGGAUGAACUCAAAUGAUUAAACAACGCCACAGAUAGAAAUUCGCAUUUCGUCUAUUUCUGAAGAGAACGUAAAUGUAUGUUACUUUUACUUUCUUUCAAAGAGGGUGUAGACGAUGGUGGCGAUAGGUCCGGUUUGGGGGGGUCAGGACCUAUCAAGGUUAUUACAUUGUUAACACAAAUAACCUUGUUAUUUUUCUACUUUCUAUGCUUUGGAGACUGUUAGUGCCUUAGAAUUAUUAAUACUGGCAUGUGGAUGUAUGGGAAUGGCUUUAUAAUGAAGACGAUACAAUAUGCAUGUACCCUGAAGUCGAACGGUUUUGUGUUAAUAAAAAAAGACAUUUCAUGUGAUUCCAUAGCAAACGAUUGUGUAAUAUAGCCAUUUGGUUUUUAUUUAUGCUUCCAUAAACCAAAAGCAAAUUAGGCAACGCCCAUAACCAACUAAUGCUUCCUGAUUGGCCGAUAAGAGUGGGCUAGGUUUGUUUGGCAUUAUUGCGCUGAUCGUUUUCACUGAUUUUGUGUCCUUAUAUGCAUUAUUGUUAUGUUAAUGAUUAAAUAAACACUGUGAUGUUAA